GAUGAACGCUGGCGGCGUGCCUAACACAUGCAAGUCGAACGGAAAGACGCUAAGCUUGCGGGGUGCUCGAGGGGGGAACGCGUGUGUGAAACGUGUGUAUCCUGCCCUUGAAUUUCGGGGAACAUCAGGAAACAGGGGAUAAUACCGGAGAGGAGAUCCUGCUGCACGGUGGGCGUUGGAAAGUUGCGGCGGUUGGGGAUGGACUUGCGGCUUAUCAGCUUGUUGGUGGGGUAGGGGCAUACCCAGGCGAUGAGGGGUAGCCGGCCUGAGAGGCUGAUGGGCCACCCGGGAACUGAGACAGGGUCAAGACUCCUAAGGGAGGCAGCAGUCUGGAAUGGGGGGCAAUGGGCGAAAGCCUGACCCAGCCAGCCGGCGUGAGAGACGAAGGCCUUCGGUUCGUAAAGCCCUCUUGUGGGGUAAGAACAGCUUUCGGCUAAUACGUAGCGUUAGUGACGGUACCGGAUGAAGAAGCACCGGCUAACUACGUG
This 488-nucleotide ribosomal RNA is filed under the name uncultured bacterium. RNAcentral's name for it is "partial 16S ribosomal RNA". It matches the Rfam family "Bacterial small subunit ribosomal RNA", at positions 28 to 507 of the family's 1533-position model. The record is from RNAcentral.